CAAGCUUCUCAGAACCAGCUCAACAGAAGUAACAAAUAAGCUUUGCAGAAACAGAGAUGAAGAGAUUUUCCUGUACCCUAUUAUCAUGCCUGAGACAGUUGCUGGAUGUCGUUAAAUACAAGUCCUUCUACCAGAAGAUGACUGAGGGAAGAAGGUUACGGGAUCAUAAAGGUUGAAACAAUGGGACAGCUGGAGGCGACACAGGCUUUCUAAAACUGGAACAAUAGCCAGUGACGAAUGAGAAGUUUAUAAGAAGUUUAUGUGUCACUGUGUGGACAUUUGCAGGCAGCAUGGAUGCAUACCUUGGUCUAGGGUUGUUCUUUUGCAAAUGCUGGUCACAGAAAAGUGCAAUAAAACUAAUA
Molecule: long non-coding RNA, 362 nt
Organism: Canis lupus familiaris (dog)
Lineage: Eukaryota; Metazoa; Chordata; Mammalia; Carnivora; Canidae
Exons: 3
Source: RefSeq, a predicted model, not a curated record